Molecule: RNA transcript, 1456 nt
Organism: Cyanidioschyzon merolae strain 10D
Lineage: Eukaryota; Rhodophyta; Bangiophyceae; Cyanidiales; Cyanidiaceae
Exons: 1
Source: RefSeq, a predicted model, not a curated record
ACAGAUGCUCAAGGCACUGGAUGUGCUUGUGAAGGCGACCUCGGUAUUCUGCGAGUUUUUCUAAUAGGAACGGUUCUUUCGGACCUUGAGAAACAUGCAAGAUAAUGUACCUGUGUUCGAUCCAAACGAAAACCCAAUGCGAUGACGGUGCAUGGGUCUGGGAAACUCGCGCUUUUCGCUGGUACUUCAUUCAACGACACUGUAUCCCUGGGUAUCGGCUUUGGGAUAUCGCGCGAGUGGGUGUCAUGUUCGAGUAAAGUAGCGGUACAGGCGAGGACCUAUUGCCUUCGCUUUUCAGGGCCGAGCGUGGUCGCGACUCGGUUGCGGCGACUGGGCGAACCGCUGAGAGCCUGUGCCCUCAGCUCACCUAGGACGCUGGGUUGGAGGCGUCGGACGCCCACUUGCGAGAAACGCACCGGAAACGAGCAAAAAGCCUCCUUCCAUCGUAGCGUGUAAUCAAGCCUCUGAUGCAGCUCUAUGGGAACGUGGUUUGCCGAGCCAGCGCACGUUCGAUGAGUCAUCGACACAGUGGCCGUGCGGGCACCUGGGCAGGUAGCGCUCGCGCAGGUCCAUGCUUUGUAUCCUCUUGCUUUUGAAGCGUAUCCUGCUUCGAAUGGAACGGUUUCGAAAGUGCAACAUAUGUGGGCGACUUGAAGUGCAAAUUUUUCCAUGAGGAAACAAGCGAUAUGCUUCAAGAUGGUGUUCCAAACGCAGAUGCCGCAAGACGCUUUGCAAGCGCGUUCUUCGUGGACAUACUGAUUCGCUGCAGGGCAGGAGUCGCUGCAUACUUGCCGUCCCUACAAGCCGGUGAGUACAACUGUUCCCGUUGCUGCUGGUAUGGCGGCUGCAUACGACCGUUUUUCACCAUACCAAGUUCGUCGACAGCGUUUCACAACGCAAGAGACACGACUCGGGUAAGACUUUUGUUCCAGAGCGCGCGUUCCGGGAGCCGAAUGUUCGGGGAGAGGGCGCCACGAAUCCCAUGCGGAUGUCUGUGGCGUUCCGGCGUUUUUCGAUCACGGGUAUCGCACUAGUGCAUACCCGAGAAAUACAAGUCGAGUCUGGAUGAUUCGUUGCUGCAUUGGUUACACCGCUGGCAACCAGCGGUAUCUUUAUUGAAGGCCCCUUUCUUACACGAGCGAGACGCUAUGCAGAUACUCUUGAUUUUUGUCAAAACAAGCUAGGAGGUCGUGUAUCGUUGGAAUGAACGCAUCCCAAGCCACAUACCCGUACGACAAGGAAAACUGCGCUGAUCAAGCAUCCGCGUUCAGAGGCAUUCGAACGCGACAAUGAGAAGGCUCUCGAUAUGACGCAACCCAGUGGCUGUGUCGCGGGCAUCGUGUUCUGCGGCCCGGGGGGCGCUCAGCGUGGACGGCAGUUGGAACGGACCGCUUCGAGGAAUCCGAGCCGUCGCCGACUCGCAACAUCGUCGCUACAUAAACCCAUGUGAUCGUUU